CUAAACCUAUCGCCGAACCCGAGCCCCUCUUCUCCCCCGACUCCGGCCUCUUUUCUGUCCUCUUCCUCUUGCGGACAAGCGACGGCGACGGGACCAGCUCCGGCGAUUCCUCUGCCGGCACCGACGCCUGGUAAGCCCAGAUCCAUCCGAGACCUUUCUCAUCCUAGCUUCGAUCUCUUCUCCUCGCCACUGGUUCUUUCACGGGGAUGAGCCGACGCCACUGAUCGAGCGAGAUCCACCCGAUCGCCGGCGAGGGUUUGCUUCCGGAGGUUUGAGAGUAUGGCUAGUUUCACCUGAGCCCUUCCUCCUUGUGCAACCGUGCCCUAAAUCCCUUCCAUCGGCUCCGAUCAGUCGUCGCAGCGUCGACAAGCCGUGCCCUAGCUACGAUCCUGAGGCAAGGAUCGUUUCCUUGCUGGCAGUUCUUGGUCUUCUUCGUAUUGACCUCACGGGGUCAGAUCUUGAUCCUCUUCCUUGAGGAUGAUUUAGGUCACGGAUUGGGCCAUUUCUGUUGGAGACAGCCGAUUGGGGUAAGUAGGUUGAUCUUCUGUGGUAUUCUUGAUUCAGCACCCUUUGCUCCGGCAGCUACCUUCCUGAGAGCUAUACUUCUUAGGGUGGAUCAACAGAAGGGAGGGCUAAGUGUGAGCAAAUCACCUUGUCUUUCCAGCCAGCUCAGUUGGUUUCCAGCAGCUCAUUUCGUUCCAGCAGUGGCUGUAAAUUUAGGAGUCUGAUUUGAAACAGGCGUCUCGACGUUGACUUCGGAUUUGGAUUGUACCUU
This is a long non-coding RNA of Zingiber officinale, 775 nucleotides long. RefSeq lists it as uncharacterized. The record is from RefSeq and is a predicted model, not a curated record. The transcript has 4 exons. Lineage: Eukaryota; Viridiplantae; Streptophyta; Magnoliopsida; Zingiberales; Zingiberaceae.